UGAACCAGGACAACUCCAGAAGAAAUGUGAAGACCUCCACUUACUGAAAAUUCACUGUGACACUGGAAUUGUACAAUCUGCCAGUAAAGGACUAAAAAAGAAGUCUGCCUAUUGUCAAAACAAGAGGUGCCAAAUGAAGAAACAACUUGAAAGCAAAUGAAAUACUCAUAUCUUUUGCUCCUAUUAAUUGCUGCAGGAAGAGCAUCAGAAUAAUGCCAGGUUUAACUGCCGUGUCACCACCUCAGAGCAUCGGGUCCUCAAACAUUAAUCCCUGCUGCCAAACAGCGCAAGGGCAGAAGGUCCAGAGGGAUGGCCAUGAUGUGGAUCUGAGACUCUUCUUUUUCCUAUGUGGAAAUUGAUAGAAUUUGGAGUCUAUCCUGGCGAAUAGUAACAGCUACUUCAGACAUGGGGCAUGGCAGAUGGAAAGGAAGUUAUCCACACCUCAAACAAGAUUGCCUUGGACAUCACUUCAUCACAAGGUUUCAAAAGAAAUCAUUUCAUGUGGCUUCAAAUAGCAUCAUACUGCAAUAUACUUGCUUUAAUAGUCUUCAGGAAAUCAUUAGUUUACUCAUUUUCUGAAAAGACAUGUUUUAAAUAAGACAAUAACAAAAAUAAUCUCUGUUAAAACUGUAUCUCUAGAAAAGAUGCAUAGGAAGAAGUAUAGAACCGGACUGGGAAAUAGAAUCACAGAAUCAUAAAAUAGUUUGGGUUGGAAGGGACCUUAAAGGUCAUCUGGUUCCGAUCCCCUGCCAUGGGCAGGGACCCGUCCCACUAGAUUAGGCUACCCAAGGCCCCAUCCAACCUGGCCUUGAACAUCUCCAGGGAUGGGGCAUCCACAGCUUCCCUGGAUAACCUGUGCCAGUGCCUCACCACCCUCAUUGUGAAGAAAUUCCUCUUUACGUCUAGCCUAAAUCUUCCCCUCUCCAGUUUAUAGCCAUUGCCCCUAGUCCUACAAGCCUUUGUAAAAGGUCCCUCCCCAGGUUUCCUGUAGCCCCUUCAGGUAUUGGAAGGUCACUAUAAUAUAUUCCAUAAAUUGUCUUGAACAUAGCUCUGUCGUUAUUGCAUUAAAAACUUGCAAGGUGUUCCUGGGAAAUACCUUCACUGACGUUGCUUUAACCUACAUUGAAUGACCUCAUGAUGGACUCCAACACUUGAGCAGCAAAUACUAGGGGAGGCUGAACGGUAUGUGGGAAGAGAAAAUCAGAGUAUUGAUGCACAAAUGCUGACUACCAUCUGGCGCAGAUGUCAUUUACUGCUGUUCAUGAAUCAGGAACCAGUUAAAUUUAACAUAUUUAGCAGUCUGUCAAUCCUUGUGCAAUGCUAGAUAAUACAAUAAUUAUUC
This is a long non-coding RNA of Cuculus canorus (common cuckoo), 1342 nucleotides long. RefSeq lists it as uncharacterized. The record is from RefSeq and is a predicted model, not a curated record. Lineage: Eukaryota; Metazoa; Chordata; Aves; Cuculiformes; Cuculidae. The transcript has 4 exons.